UGAGACACUAGAAAACUAAAUGUGGGAUGG
This 30-nucleotide non-coding RNA is filed under the name Mus musculus (house mouse). The record is from RNAcentral. Lineage: Eukaryota; Metazoa; Chordata; Mammalia; Rodentia; Muridae.